This 259-nucleotide unclassified non-coding RNA is filed under the name Glomus sp. RNAcentral describes it as "partial internal transcribed spacer 2". The record is from RNAcentral. Lineage: Eukaryota; Fungi; Glomeromycota; Glomeromycetes; Glomerales; Glomeraceae.
GUGAAUCAUCGAAUCUUUGAACGCAAAUUGCACUCUCCGGUUUUCCGGGAAAUUAUCCUUUUUGAAGGGUAAUCCUAAAAAAAUUCGUCUUUGUUGCGGUUUUAUGGUUAAUUUCUUCGGAGAUGGUUUAUCUUAAAUCUCGUUUUAAGCGACUUAAUUAUUUUUUUUACGAUUCUAAGUUUGUUUCUAAGAUUUCGCUUGUACGUUUAAGGUAUCUAUUGUCUUAUUAGACCUGGACGUCAUAUCGGAUCGAGUCCAU